Molecule: long non-coding RNA, 2886 nt
Organism: Daucus carota subsp. sativus
Lineage: Eukaryota; Viridiplantae; Streptophyta; Magnoliopsida; Apiales; Apiaceae
Exons: 3
Source: RefSeq, a predicted model, not a curated record
AGUCAAGACAAUGAUGCCUACUUGAAUAAUUCAAGUGACAAUGGGAAUUUGAAGAUAUAUGUUUGGUGGAGAUGAGUCAAGACUCUGAAAUUGCUAUUCAAUCUGAUGUUGCUGGAGUGAGUAUCUCGCUUCUUUUUGCGUUCCACACACACAUGUGGCAGAUUAUGGAGAUACUAUAGAAGAAACACAGGACAAGUUCUUGGCUGGAUAGCAGUUAAAGAAUAAAAAAGGCCCGGAGAAGCCUGGUACUUUCUGUAGGACAGGGAUGCCAGAGUAAAAGGUAGAUAUCCAAUGAGUUUGAAUGAUUCUGCAGAAUGCAGUAAAUCUAUUUUCGAUUUCGUUUCUAAUAAUAUAUUAUUCAUGCCUGCUUUCUGUGCCAAGCAUGCAUGUGUUAUUUUCACAAUUUACAGCAAUUCAACAAGAUCUAUCAACACCCUACCAAAUGGUAAAUAUUUCACCCGAAAGUGUGUCGACUUCACAAUUUAUACAGCACAUUUUGCUUUUCAUUCAUUUAUAUGUUGGAAUUCUUUAACCGAAGUAUUAGGUUGUAGCUGUAGUGAGGGUAUCUGGGUCUUUAUAGUAAGCACUAGGCUUACGAACAGAGUCAACAAAAUUCGAGCUAGCCUCAUUUAAGUGAGCUCAGUUUUGUUUGUUUACUAAAAGAUACCCAAUCUUGAACAUGAAAAUAUUACUCGGUAAUCCUUUCAGUUCGUAAACAAACUCGAUCCUAGCUUUUUGUCUACUCAGCGCGUUUACUUCGGGAUGGGGAUCAGCUCGAGUUCGACUAAACUCAGAUAAAAUUUGUACAUAUUUAAAAUUUAAAAUAUUAUGAAUAAUCCAAAUAUUUUAAAAAUGAAAAUUUCAAAUGAUUAUUAUAAAAAACUUGACAAGGGAGAUGGAAUGAGAGAUAAGACAACAAGUGUAUAUAUAUGAGUUGAGUGCAAAUGUAUGAUUAUUAUGAUAGUUAAAUAGUGAUUUGGAUGCAACUUGUAAGACUAUAAUUAAAUUUUACAAUUGAGGAUUUGUUGAGUUAAAAUUCUAUAUGUGGGAAUCUGUUUGUAUUCUAUUAGAGUUCAGCUCAACUGAAUUGUUCAUGAGCAAACUCGUGCUCGCACUCUGAAUAAACAAGCAGAUCUUGAACAUGACUUUUUGUUUGGUUGGAAACUCGGAUUGGCUCGACUCGUUUCAGAAUAAAGUUAAAGUUGGCUCGACUUGGACAAAACUUGUCCCAACUCUGUUCUUUUGAACCCCUGCACUGUCUGAGCUAGCUUUCCCAGAGAUUCUUACUACCAUCUUAUUAUUUCUCUGGACUAAUUGUUAGCUUUAUUGAUCAAAGGUCAAAAACCAUUUCUAUUGUUAGAACAAAGCUCUUCAGAGUUUGUUUUGAUUUGGAGCAGGUAAAGUUCAAUUUCGAAGGCAUAAGAAAAGCAAGGCGAGAUUUGAAGGAAAAUUGUGGAACUUGUAAUCGGGGUAAGGUUAAAUAUUAGCCUAAUGUAUUUCAUUGUUAGCGGGAGUAGACCUAAUAAAAUUUUCACUUCUCACUAAAAAAUAAUUUUUAUUGUGUGCUCGUGGACACCCACUCCUCCGAUUUUUUUUUAUAUGUCAAGAAAAUCUAUUUAUUUUGAAGCUUCACUCUUAGACGAGGCGAACAUCCCGCUCAGGUGACAAAAAGUGAAGAUGGAUGAAUUAUACUUUCUGGGAAAAGGUGAGUAGUGCAUCAACUAGGUCUUGAGCCCUAGAUUCCAGCACUAUAUACUAAAAAAGGACUAAAAUCUUAUGAAUGAUUUCUUCUCCCUAGAAUGAUAAGCGUCCAUUGCCUUUUUAGCUCAACUGUUGCUUUUUGUAUUAUACUUUGUCUAGUUGUUCUGUUACUGCCUACAUGCUUGCCCAGGAGCAUCAGCCUUUUCUUAAGAUCUAUUCACUUUUAAUUUUCUAGCAUCCUUUCAGAGUUUUACAUACGGGCCGGUUGUUUUAAAGAAGCAGAAGCUGCUACUUCUCUACGAGAGUUUCUGCUUAUUUUUCAAACACUUUAUUAACUUAUUUACUUUUCAUUUCUAAUCCACUUUUUUACCUUACGCAAAAAGUCACUUUUUUAAACUUGCCCAAACAGCCCCAUAUUUUUAUGAUUUUUUUUCCUUCUUCUUCUCAGUUUGUCGAUUGCGUCAGUGUUCUAUCAUGUUGACAUGCAUGCACCUGAAAGGUAGAUUUUACUCUGCUCUAUAUAUGUCUAUGUACAGAUGAUGAGAUAUAAUAACAGAUACGAUUCCCGACGGCGACAAGCGAUUGUUGCAAUUUGAUGUCCUUAAACUACCCCUAUUGGGGCAUUAUAGAUUUUUCACGUAUAUAACCAAAAAUAGUAAUUAGUUGGCAACAAUCGCUGGCCAUAUAUCUCCUCUGCGUAUAUUAUACAUGAAUAUUGCAGAACUUGCUUUCCUCUGUUUGUUAUCAUUCUCAUCAGAAAUAGUGAGCCAAAAAUGAAGAAUCAGAAUAUUGAUAGGAAAAUGUGAGCACUGGUAGGCUCAAAUAUUGUUGGUCUCUAUUCGUAUAAAAAUCCCUGCCGUUAGCGUGGCUUGUCGUAAGGAUCAGAAUUGUUUCAGCAGCUUCAUCAUUUGUCGUGAGAACUAAAGAAUGUGCGCAACUUGCUUUGAGAGUUUUAGUCCACUUUUACAUUCGAUUUUUUAAACAGUCUCCUGUGCACUGUCCCGUUUUAUUCGCCUUAAAUUUUCAAUUUUAACCUUCCACUUCUGUAAUGCAAUAAUUAAUAACUUGUGUUAAUACUUUUAUUACAUGCAUAAUGUUGUUGACUAUUAUUAUUGGCUAAAUUGGAUAUGUAUGACGUUAUGCAAAAUUUGUUUGUUGAACCUAUAAGAGCAUCAUUAUGUAAAA